UUCAGGUUACAUUCAUUCUGAAGAAACUUAGUCUUAACUUGUAUGUUUAUCUAUCCUUCUUAAGUUUUACUAUUUUAUUAUUCUGAUAAUGAUGGUAACUUCUUUACUAUAUUGAAAUAUUGUAGCGUUUGUAUUCACCGAGGGAUUAUUUUGUUCAAGCAUCAUCUUUCCGAGGAACUAAAUUUUUUUUUGUUCAUAUGUACCUUAGGGUCAGGAUCAAUAUCCUGUUCUCUGUGAGUAACUAGGGAACAUUUUCUUAAUCUGCAGUUUCUUUAGAAAUUGAUUUACCUGUUCUCUAGUAUUUCCAUAAUUGGAUUUAUUUAUAAGAGUUAUUAAUAUGUGACUUCUUGAAUUCUUUCAUGAGAGAUGACUUCGAAAUAUUGGUUAGCUUCUUCUGGCCAUUCUUAUCAAUCUGUUGUAGCUAUAGCUAUAGUUAGAGAAUCCCAGAGUAAGCUAACUUCUGUUAGGUCAACUAUUCGAUUAGUUACCCUUAGAUAGAUCUCCCAUUGAAUCUGAUACAAAUCUGAUGAUCAGUUGAGUUAGGGUCAUGGUAACAAAUAUGUAAUCAUCAUUAGUACAUUUAGCGCUAAGUGUAGCAUUGCUCAAUUAAAUCUGCCUGAUUGUUCCACCUUGGAUAUGCUUCCCUAUAAAUCUGUUGUCCACUGUCGGAUCAAUUUAGGAUAAAAGUCUUGCUACAAUAAAUUUCCCCUUUCUUGUUAAUGACUCUUAUAUUUAGGUUAGGUUAUACUGUGGUCUAUUUUUUUUGCAUGUUGAGAAUUGGCUACGAGAUUUCUACGGACUGUUCACUUUGGAUAUGCUCUAUUUAAAUCUGUUGUCCAUCGAUAGAACAGUUUGUACUACUCGUCCCAUUCGACAUUUUUUUGAUUAGAAUUUAUCUGAAUUAUGAAAUUUAGCAAAGGGUUAUAAUAAACCUUAACUAGGUAUGUUGGUACCAUAUGUGAUAUAUUGGUCAUUAAGACAACCCCAUUUACAUGACUCAUAAUUUGCGGUUAGGUAUAAUCGAUCGAGUCAGCUGUAAGUGUGAGUAAGUUAGUCGUCGUAUAGGUUAUAUUAAGUUUUGUAUUCGAAUAUUGUGGUUAUGGUGUUCUUGUUGACUAUAAUUUGGGGUUUUAUAUAAAUCUACUAAAUCAACUGGAACACAAUUUGGUCUUUAGGAUAUAUAUCAGAGGACUGGUCCUACGAGUUUGGACGAUGUCCUACGAUAGGUUAGUUUAGAGUAGUGAAGUAAUCAUAGGUUCGCACUAUAUUUUUGCUAUUUGGUUUGUUCACGCCUGUGUUGGAUCCCACAGCGUGUGAUUUUUCUCUAUGAAUACUGGCAUUGAGUAUUUAUAAGUAUAUAUGGAAAAAAAUUGUUCCUAAGAUCAAUUUUUUUUUUCCGAGUAAUGGGGGAAUGUAACGAUGAGUGUCAUCGUUACGAUAUUAUUAUAUUUAUUCCUAUAAGCCACCUAAUAAGUAUGCAACCAGUUAUGCGUUCGUGCUUAGAACGGGUUACCUAGAUUUGUGACCAAAUAUAAUAGAAGGUUGGUACUACGCUUGGGGAAUUCUGGUCUUAGCUUGUGGCUGUACGGCUUCCGACGGAGGGGCAUGUCAUAUCGCCCAUCGGAGAGGAUUGUCACUUCAAUUUUCAAUCUGGUUGGAUGAACAAGUAAAUUUUUCCGUGGUCACUGUUUAAAGAAUACAAUAUUUAGUUAAAAUAUUCAUUUAUUAUAAGAUUGGUUUAUUUUGGAAGGAGCUAUUUUUUGUUUUGGGAUUUGUGCGGUGAGAGGAAGAGUUUUAUUUCCAAGUUUCCUUUUGGAAAACAGUGGCCACGGAAGAAAAUAAGAAGAUGGAAAAUUAAGUCAAUCAUACUUUAAUUUGUUUUUUUGGAAUACAUAAUCAUUUUGGGGAUAUUUUGGAUGGAAUGUGGAUGUUUUGUUUGGUUUUUGUGGAAUAAAAGUUGAGUUUUCCGAUACUGGGCAGCUACCUGCUUGCCGUACCUUCCUGUUGGUGUGGAGUACCUCCCUAGGGUUGGGAACCAGAGGAUACCUUAUUUGGCUCUCCCCUCAUCAUCUUCACCAAAGGUUGGAAGAAGCAAUCCGCCUACUUUUUGUAGGGACAGGUUUUUAUAUAACUAAAUUUACAUGUCAAUUUGUUUUAAUAAUAACUUCCAAUUUUACUAUUUUUUUUCUCUUCGUAUCAAUAACUUUCAAAUCACUCUAAUAAUAAUAUACCCUCAUUGUUUUUCUUAACCAUAAGUAACAUAAUAUUCAAUAUUUUUCAACAAUUUUUAUUAUAUUUCACCCUUAUUUAAUUUAUUUAAAAUAGCCUGGGAUUUAUAAACCAUAUGUAAGAUAAUGUGCACAGUAUCUAGGUCAUAUCCUAUUUAAUAAUAUUUAUUCCAGUUGUCGGAUGUUGUCACCUCCGAUUAGAUACGGUAUUGUCAACCAAUAUUGUAACCCUCAUUAAUAAUAAGUUGUUAAGGUAAAUACCUAUUCAUACUAAAUUCAUUACAUAUUUUUUUCUACUGUAAAACCUGCAUUAUCGACAGCAGUGUACUAGCCUAGUACGUCGGAUAAUUAGCUAGUGUAAAAAUUGUAUAUAGGGUAUAUAGGUUUUUUUAUUAAAUGUGGUUGUACAUA
This 2639-nucleotide long non-coding RNA is filed under the name Diabrotica virgifera virgifera (western corn rootworm). RNAcentral's name for it is "uncharacterized LOC126881626". The record is from RNAcentral. Lineage: Eukaryota; Metazoa; Arthropoda; Insecta; Coleoptera; Chrysomelidae.